GAUGAACGCUAGCUACAGGCUUAACACAUGCAAGUCGAGGGGUAACGAGAGGAAAGCUUGCUUUCCUUGUCGACGACCGGCGCACGGGUGAGUAACGCGUAUCCAACCUGCCCCCAACUAGGGAUAACCUUGCGAAAGUAAGACUAAUACCCUAUAAUUUCCUCAGAUGACAUCUGACGAGGAAUAAAGAUUUAUCGGUUGUGGAUGGGGAUGCGUCUGAUUAGCUUGUUGGCGGGGUAACGGCCCAACAAGGCAACGAUCAGUAGGGGUUCUGAGAGGAAGGUCCCCCACAUUGGAACUGAGACACGGUCCAAACUCCUACGGGAGGCAGCAGUGAGGAAUAUUGGUCAAUGGGCGGAAGCCUGAACCAGCCAAGUAGCGUGCAGGAUGACGGCCCUAUGGGUUGUAAACUGCUUUUAUACAGGAAAAAAGUUAGCCACGUGUGGUUAUUUGUAGGUACUGUAUGAAUAAGGACCGGCUAAUUCCGUGCCAGCAGCCGCAGUAA
RNAcentral lists this ribosomal RNA (505 nucleotides) under uncultured bacterium. Its description in RNAcentral is "partial 16S ribosomal RNA". It matches the Rfam family "Bacterial small subunit ribosomal RNA", at positions 28 to 523 of the family's 1533-position model. The record is from RNAcentral.